CCUACGGGAGGCAGCAGUGGGGAAUUUUGGACAAUGGGAGCAACCCUGAUCCAGCAAUGCCGCGUGAGUGAAGAAGGCCUUCGGGUUGUAAAGCUCUUUUGUCAGGGAAGAAACGGCGGAGACUAAUACUUUCUGCUAAUGACGGUACCUGAAGAAUAAGCACCGGCUAACUACGUGCCAGCAGCCGCGGUAAUACGUAGGGUGCAAGCGUUAAUCGGAAUUACUGGGCGUAAAGCGUGCGCAGGCGGUUGUGCAAGACCGAUGUGAAAUCCCCGGGCUUAACCUGGGAAUGGCAUUGGUGACUGUACGGCUAGAGUGUGUCAGAGGGGGGUAGGAAUUCCACGUGUAGCAGUGAAAUGCGUAGAGAUGUGGAGGAAUACCGAUGGCGAAGGCAGCCCCCUGGGAUAACACUGACGCUCAUGCACGAAAAGACGUGGGGAGCAAACAGGAAUUAGAUACCCUGUAGUCCACGCCCUAAACAACUAGUNUACUAGUUAGUUCGGGUCGUUCUAUUNUAUUAGUUAGUACGAGACGACGACGACGAGAGAACGACGACGG
RNAcentral lists this ribosomal RNA (558 nucleotides) under uncultured bacterium. Its description in RNAcentral is "bacterial SSU rRNA". It matches the Rfam family "Bacterial small subunit ribosomal RNA", at positions 338 to 873 of the family's 1533-position model. The record is from RNAcentral.